CCCGGGCCGCCCCCUGCGUGCCGCCCCCGGCCGCCAGCGCGGCGCGGAGAGGUCACCGCGGUGGCAUUCCUCCCCGCGCGCUGUUUACGUGACUUAAUGUACUUCAUACGCAGCGGCUUGUUAUCUAGGCCACCCAUGACCGACGAAAGAUCUUCCCUCCCUGCUUCUCCCAAGGCCGCUUUAAACCAAAUAAAUUUGGCUAUUAAGGGCCAAGAUGCCUGACAAAAGAUCGAAAGGUGUCUAUCCGUGAUCGCUUAAAGAAGCGGAGGAGAGGCUUGUGGCUCUCUGAUCCCGAUAAAGACAUUCCACCCGGCGCCGGCCUCCCUCCCCGCAGCCUGGUUGCGUCCUGGCACCCAGAGAUCGCCGCCUCACUGGCCCACAUCUCCACCGGCCCGGCGGGGCCGGGGUCCGUUGCACCGGGAAUGUGAACGUCCCCAGGCAGCCGGGGUCCCGGGAGCCAUGGAACUCCCGGCCUGACGGAGAUGGGCUCCCAAAACAGACACCCCGCACUUGCCAGAAAUUUAAACCGAGCUCACUGGGACCUGAGUUAUUGUCCCAUUUUGAUUAUUUUCUGAUGUUGAAUAAUUCUACCUUUCCACCCCCACUCGCGGCGGUUUUGCCGAAGGGCGCUGUGACUCCACAUCUCCGGUUUUCUGGAGCAGCUCUUCUUUUGAACCCCAGUCAGAACCAGACGGGUGAACUGGACAGCUGAGUUACACUGAGGCCAAUAAGGAGAGUUUGGACUCGCCAAUUAAGAGUGUGCAGGUGGGAGGCAGAGGUCCAAUCCCUCAGUCAUCCCCAGCUUGGGUUUGGUUAUGAAAUGCAGUGUUUAUUAUCAUUGUUAAUUAUUACUGGCAUAACCACACAAAGCCUAGGGCUGCCAGCUGGGCCGAGGCCCUGCCCCUGAGGUGAUCCUUUUCACUAAAGGCAAGGCAGGGACUAUGCACUUUCCUGACCCAGGACUGGAAAGUGGGCUUGGGGAGUCAGGUGCCACGUUCUGCGGGUUUCAUUUCUUCUUCCCUUAAGUAGGUGUAGCAUUCCCCCAUACUCUAGUCUCACCUAAGCCUUUUCUACCACUUUGCAUUAUGGGUAGUUAAGAACCUUCCAGGUGGCAAGUUAGAGAGAUUGUGCUGGCUUCCUUGCAAUGGGGAUUCUUCUUAGAUGUUCUGCUGUCUCCUUCUGUUCAGUGGUGAAGUUGGAGACAGGACUCUGAAUUCCAAAGGGGAAUCCAACAUCUUCAGUUUCUGUCUGUCACCUCAUACUGGGUCCCGGAAGUUAAGAAGACUCUCUUUUCUCAUAGCCUUCUUCCAAAUAAGGUGAACUCCAAAGACAUCCACCUCGUCUAAUCCUUCCCCUUCAUCCAGCCACCCCUCCCGGGUAAGGGGAGAUAGGGAAAAUCAGAGCCUCAGAAGGAAAGGUAUCAUUUCUGCUCCCCAGAAGGUGAAAGAGAUGCAAAAAUUUCAAACACACUAGACAUGCAAGACCCAGACUUUUCCUGGAUUUUGCUGGUAUCACUAGAUGUGCAGAUAUUGCCAAUUCUAGGAUCAGAGUCCAGAUGCCACUGCCCCAGAGCUGUCUCAGCUCAGAGACCUUUCUGUUUCUCUUUUCUUGGUUGCUGGGGAGGGGGGGUUCACAAUGUUGUAAGGCAAAGCAGAAAAGGAGGUGAUAAGCUAUUGGAGAUUUGCUAAGUAACUAAUGCUCCUCCUUGAGUCAAUUAAAGGGGAGGGAAAUGCCCCCAAAAUAAAAAAUGUCUGCAUUUACCACCCAGAA
This is a long non-coding RNA of Suricata suricatta (meerkat), 1770 nucleotides long. RefSeq lists it as uncharacterized. Lineage: Eukaryota; Metazoa; Chordata; Mammalia; Carnivora; Herpestidae. The record is from RefSeq and is a predicted model, not a curated record. The transcript has 2 exons.